Molecule: small nuclear RNA, 309 nt
Filed under: Microtus ochrogaster (prairie vole)
Lineage: Eukaryota; Metazoa; Chordata; Mammalia; Rodentia; Cricetidae
Description: 7SK RNA (ENSMOCG00000011877.1)
Rfam family: 7SK RNA
About the family: 7SK was discovered as an abundant small nuclear RNA in the mid-70s but a possible function has only recently been suggested. Two independent studies have found that 7SK RNA binds the CDK9/cyclin T complex (known as elongation factor P-TEFb). P-TEFb activates transcription by phosphorylating the C-terminal domain of RNA polymerase II.
Source: RNAcentral
UCCUGUGAGCCACCUGGCUCUAACAUCUGUCACACCACUGAUGGCUGGGACUGAUUCAGCUGAUCCCAGUGGCUAGGGAGGUGUCCCCUUUCUCCCUCACCUCUGCAUGUGCGUUCAGCCUGAAGCUGUGCAUGCAGUUCAAAGGAUCUUCCCCAUACAGAAGAGGAGCAACCUUCAGUCAGGGGCCUGUAAGAGCUGUGCUCUCCUGACAGAGCCUCCAAACAGGCUCUCAGAUGUCCUAAAUGUGAUUUACAGCUGUUUUUCAAAAACAACAAAUAAAGCAUAAGCCAGUAUAAUAAGCCAUCUUUU